RNAcentral lists this ribosomal RNA (280 nucleotides) under unidentified marine bacterioplankton. RNAcentral describes it as "partial 16S ribosomal RNA". It matches the Rfam family "Bacterial small subunit ribosomal RNA", at positions 32 to 339 of the family's 1533-position model. The record is from RNAcentral.
AACGCUGGCGGCAGGCCUAACACAUGCAAGUCGAGCGAGACCUUCGGGUCUAGCGGCGGACGGGUGAGUAACGCGUGGGAAUAUGCCCUUUGGUACGGAAUAGCCUCGGGAAACUGAGAGUAAUACCGUAUGUGCCCUUCGGGGGAAAGAUUUAUCGCCAAAGGAUUUAGCCCGCGUUGGAUUAGGUAGUUGGUGGGGUAAUGGCCUACCAAGCCUACGAUCCAUAGCUGGUUUGAGAGGAUGAUCAGCCACACUGGGACUGAGACACGGCCCAGACUCC